AACGAACGCUGGCGGCAUGCCUAACACAUGCAAGUCGAACGAGACCUUCGGGUUUAGCGGGGGACGGGCGCGUAACGGGUUGGCAAAUGCCUUUAGGUUCGGAAUAUCUUCCCGCAAGGGGUUCUAAUACCGGCUAGGGUCUUGGGACUAAUGAUUUAUCGCAUUUGGGUGGGCCCGCGUUGGUGUCGCUUGUUGGUAGGGUAAAAGCGUGCCAAUGCGAGGCUUCAUAGCUGGUCGGUGGGGAUGAUCCACCACACUGGGACUGAGACACGGCCCAGACUCCUACUGGAAGAAGCAGUGGGGAAUAUUGGAGCAGGGGCGAAAGCCUGGUCCAGCAAUGCCGCGGGUGUGAUGAAGGCCUUGGGGUUGUAAAGCUCUUUUACCCGGGAUGAUAAUGACAGUACCGGGAGAAUAAGCUCCGGCUAACUCCGUG
This 433-nucleotide ribosomal RNA is filed under the name uncultured bacterium. Its description in RNAcentral is "partial 16S ribosomal RNA". It matches the Rfam family "Bacterial small subunit ribosomal RNA", at positions 29 to 507 of the family's 1533-position model. The record is from RNAcentral.